RNAcentral lists this ribosomal RNA (392 nucleotides) under uncultured bacterium. RNAcentral describes it as "partial 16S ribosomal RNA". It matches the Rfam family "Bacterial small subunit ribosomal RNA", at positions 523 to 918 of the family's 1533-position model. The record is from RNAcentral.
AUACGGAGGGUGCGAGCGUUAAUCGGAAUUACUGGGCGUAAAGCGCAUGUAGGCCGUGUGGCAAGUUAGGGGUGAAAUCCCAGGGCUCAACCUUGGAACUGCCUCUAAAACUACCAUGCUUGAGUGCGAGAGAGGAUAGCGGAAUUCCAGGUGUAGGAGUGAAAUCCGUAGAUAUCUGGAAGAACAUCAGUGGCGAAGGCGGCUAUCUGGCUCGUAACUGACGCUGAGAUGCGAAAGCGUGGGUAGCAAACAGGAUUAGAUACCCUGGUAGUCCACGCUGUAAACGAUGGAUACUAGUUGUCGGGCGACAAGCUCGGUGACGCAGCUAACGCAAUAAGUAUCCCGCCUGGGGAGUACGGUCGCAAGGCUGAAACUCAAGGGAAUUGACGGGG